CCAAGACGUCCUUCCCUCUGCCUCCCACCCAGGCCACUCUUCACCUCCACCAUGAGCCUGGACAUCCAGAGCCUGGACAUCCAGUGUGAGGAGCUGAGCGACGCUAGAUGGGCCGAGCUCCUCCCUCUGCUCCAGCAGUGCCAAGUGGUCAGGCUGGACGACUGUGGCCUCACGGAAGCACGGUGCAAGGACAUCAGCUCUGCACUUCGAGUCAACCCUGCACUGGCAGAGCUCAACCUGCGCAGCAACGAGCUGGGCGAUGUCGGCGUGCAUUGCGUGCUCCAGGGCCUGCAGAGCCCCUCCUGCAAGAUCCAGAAGCUGAGGAGCUGCACCUCAGCGACAACCUCUUGGGGGAUGCGGGCCUGCAGCUGCUCUGCGAAGGACUCCUGGACCCCCAGUGCCGCCUGGAAAAGCUGCAGUGAGUUUGUGUCCUGCCCCAGGGCCCAUGCUGGCCGCUGCUUGUCCCCCAGCCAGCCCCCUACAUAGAACAUCGCCUGCCAGGAGCCGUGAGGAGGGGACUCAGGUCACAGGGGCCUUGUGGUGCUCUCCUUUCCCCAUGAUGCUGGGUCU
This 570-nucleotide small RNA is filed under the name Pan troglodytes (chimpanzee). RNAcentral describes it as "retained intron". Lineage: Eukaryota; Metazoa; Chordata; Mammalia; Primates; Hominidae. The record is from RNAcentral.